UACGGAGGGGGCGAGCGUUGUUCGGAUUUACUGGGCGUAAAGGGCGCGUAGGCGGCCACCGCAAGUCGACUGUGAAAUCUCCGGGCUUAACCCGGAAAGGUCAGCCGAUACUGCGGGGCUAGAGUGCAGAAGGGGCAACUGGAAUUCUCGGUGUAGCGGUGAAAUGCGUAGAUAUCGAGAGGAACACCUGCGGCGAAGGCGGGUUGCUGGGCUGACACUGACGCUGAGGCGCGAAAGCUAGGGGAGCGAACGGG
This 254-nucleotide ribosomal RNA is filed under the name uncultured bacterium. RNAcentral describes it as "partial 16S ribosomal RNA". It matches the Rfam family "Bacterial small subunit ribosomal RNA", at positions 524 to 776 of the family's 1533-position model. The record is from RNAcentral.